This 119-nucleotide small nucleolar RNA is filed under the name Ochotona princeps (American pika). RNAcentral's name for it is "Small nucleolar RNA SNORA9 (ENSOPRG00000023091.1)". The record is from RNAcentral. Lineage: Eukaryota; Metazoa; Chordata; Mammalia; Lagomorpha; Ochotonidae.
UGGAAAAUCUCUCGGCCAGGCCUGCCGUCGCCUCCUGCGUUCUUGCCAGGGCAAUUCAGAACAGUUUGAGGCUUUGCCCCACUCCAUCCAGAGCGAGGCUAUAGAACUUUCAGACAAUC